UGAAACAUGUUUCAUUUUCGAGAAGUAAUCUUUUAGUGUGUAAACAUAAAAAAAAUAUGUUUUGUAAUUUAAAACUGCUGUUUAUUGGCGGAUUUCUAAUAAUUCUACUUUAACACGUUAAUAUGGAUGGUGAUAUAAUCAUUGUGCUGCUGGAAAUCUACAUCAACGCGAUACUCCAAGCGCGCGAACUCUACCCAGCCGCAGUAUUUCGGAAGCGAAAAGCCUUCAACAUUCCAGUAUGGAUUGCGAUUUUUAACCCUCUGAACGAAUAUUUAAAACGGACCCUGUGUGCAGCUGUUGAGCUCAAACGAGCCAAAAAACUUACGAAAGUCGAACUGCUGAUCUACCAGGAGGAAAGCGGUCCGUUGGAAAAUUACGUUUUCGAGCUGGAGGACCUUGAACUUCCGCUGGCAACCGACGAGCACAUGUUCGAACUGGAAGAUCACGUUCGGAAGUCCCUUUUGAAUUUCGGCAACCAGCUUAAGGGACUGAAAAGGCUGUCAUCCGCUGCGACAUUCAAGCUUUUACUUCAUACCACUGAAGCGGCGCACGUCAGGCUUGCAGCUAAUCCGAAGCUUCAGGAUCACCCCUUCGUGCGGGAUGCAAGUGGAGCGGGAUUUGAGACUAACAAAAGGCAGCUUCUGCCGUUGGUUUAUACUCCUACGGUUGGAUUGAACAUGUAUGUUCAAGAAUUUUUAGUGGCAAACAACAGUGGCUGUUUUUCUGGUUUUUCUACCCCGUAAUGCCAAAACGGAAAAACAAUCUCCUAGCUCCUCGAGCAAAAGCCGUGAAGCCCGAUUUCCGAGCACUGCCUCCAACAGCAGUGGCUACAGCAGCAGUUCCUACUCCUCAACGCCCUCCCUACUGAAGCAGAAAGUUAAACUGGAACCAUUGCCGGACGCUUCGGAGUUGGUAGAAUCGCUACCAACCAUUUCUCCCAAUUAUCGCCCGAUUCCGCUGAACCAGGUCGUGAUGGAUUGUGUAUUUUCCAACAACUGCAAGGCUCAGCGGUCGAUUCUGACCGAAGGAGAAACCCUCGGCCACAGCAUGUAGUCCAAAAAUCUUCGCACCAAAGUUUUUUCCGGCAUCAAAACCUUUACUGGAAUCGUGCCUAGCCUGUACGACCUGUGCAUUCGACUCAUAGAAGCUGAAACAUAGAGCUGCUGGAUUGUACCGGCGGAAUUCCGUUCGAAAUGCUCAAACCGGUCCUGGAACGUGCCUCCGCCAAACAGCUGGAAUAUCUGGAAGAAGUGAACCCGUACCUGUUAGAGGACACUGACAUCCUUUAGGAGCAGCACUGCAAACGACUCUUCCGAAGCCAAACACGAAGGGAAGAAGAGUGCGAAUCAUGGCUGGAGAUGUACGCUCGUUAUUCAAAAGAAAGAGAGGUAAAGCUGCAGCAUGAACCGUCUGACGGCCAACAUCAGAUGGCCCAGGUAGAGCAGACAGCAGCGGUCAGCGUAAGUGUCAACCUGCGACAAAAAUACCUCGUCCAACUGAUCAAACCAGAGUUAUCCGCAUCACUUGGAUCGAACGACAGCCAAAAAUCCGAAGGCGGAGAUGCAUUGCUUCAGAAAAACAUUGCAUUUUUUGCCAGUGAUUUGAUAAGACUAAUCUAACCCAUAUGUUAUAUAUUUGGUUGUAUUUCUAUUCUUGGUAAUGCUAUAGCCUACGCCCGCCGAACUGGUACCGAAAUUCAUUGAGGACAUAAUUACUUAUUCAAGUUUUCUUUAUUGAGCACUAGCUGAUUUUACCCGGCCUUGCUCGGGUUCAUGUAAAAAAAAUUAAUCAAAAUGAGUCGUUUGACUUUUCUAAAUUAUAGAAGCUUUAUAUUCAUCAUUCUGAGAAAUUUGUCCGAUUUUAUGUCAUGUAAUUUUAGUCUUUUAAAAUUAUUUAAUGAGAUUAUAAACUGUGUUUAUCGUUUUCAUGAUAUUGGAAAACGUAUAGA
RNA transcript from Uranotaenia lowii, 1948 nucleotides. It is a transcript of the gene named DNA polymerase zeta subunit 2, with no coding region annotated. The transcript is spliced from 4 exons. Lineage: Eukaryota; Metazoa; Arthropoda; Insecta; Diptera; Culicidae. The record is from RefSeq and is a predicted model, not a curated record.